Molecule: ribosomal RNA, 253 nt
Filed under: uncultured bacterium
Lineage: Bacteria
Description: partial 16S ribosomal RNA
Rfam family: Bacterial small subunit ribosomal RNA
Source: RNAcentral
GACAGAGGGUGCAAACGUUGCUCGGAAUCACUGGGCGUAAAGGGCGUGUAGGCGGGAAGGAAAGUCAGAUGUGAAAUCCCUGGGCUCAACCCAGGAACUGCAUUUGAAACUUCCUUUCUUGAGUGUCGGAGAGGAAAGUGGAAUUCCUGGUGUAGAGGUGAAAUUCGUAGAUAUCAGGAGGAACACCGGUGGCGAAGGCGGCUUUCUGGACGACAACUGACGCUGAGACGCGAAAGCGUGGGGAGCAAACAGG